RNAcentral lists this ribosomal RNA (2904 nucleotides) under Escherichia coli. RNAcentral's name for it is "23S ribosomal RNA". It matches the Rfam family "Bacterial large subunit ribosomal RNA". Lineage: Bacteria; Pseudomonadati; Pseudomonadota; Gammaproteobacteria; Enterobacterales; Enterobacteriaceae. The record is from RNAcentral.
UUAAGCGACUAAGCGUACACGGUGGAUGCCCUGGCAGUCAGAGGCGAUGAAGGACGUGCUAAUCUGCGAUAAGCGUCGGUGAGGUGAUAUGAACCGUUAUAACCGGCGAUUUCCGAAUGGGGAAACCCAGUGUGUUUCGACACACUAUCAUUAACUGAAUCCAUAGGUUAAUGAGGCGAACCGGGGGAACUGAAACAUCUAAGUACCCCGAGGAAAAGAAAUCAACCGAGAUUCCCCCAGUAGCGGCGAGCGAACGGGGAGGAGCCCAGAGCCUGAAUCAGUGUGUGUGUUAGUGGAAGCGUCUGGAAAGGCGCGCGAUACAGGGUGACAGCCCCGUACACAAAAAUGCACAUAUUGUGAGCUCGAUGAGUAGGGCGGGACACGUGGUAUCCUGUCUGAAUAUGGGGGGACCAUCCUCCAAGGCUAAAUACUCCUGACUGACCGAUAGUGAACCAGUACCGUGAGGGAAAGGCGAAAAGAACCCCGGCGAGGGGAGUGAAAAAGAACCUGAAACCGUGUACGUACAAGCAGUGGGAGCCUCUUAAUGGGGUGACUGCGUACCUUUUGUAUAAUGGGUCAGCGACUUAUAUUCUGUAGCAAGGUUAACCGAAUAGGGGAGCCGAAGGGAAACCGAGUCUUAACUGGGCGUUAAGUUGCAGGGUAUAGACCCGAAACCCGGUGAUCUAGCCAUGGGCAGGUUGAAGGUUGGGUAACACUAACUGGAGGACCGAACCGACUAAUGUUGAAAAAAAUAGCGGAUGACUUGUGGCUGGGGGUGAAAGGCCAAUCAAACCGGGAGAUAGCUGGUUCUCCCCGAAAGCUAUUUAGGUAGCGCCUCGUGAAUUCAUCUCCGGGGGUAGAGCACUGUUUCGGCAAGGGGGUCAUCCCGACUUACCAACCCGAUGCAAACUGCGAAUACCGGAGAAUGUUAUCACGGGAGACACACGGCGGGUGCUAACGUCCGUCGUGAAGAGGGAAACAACCCAGACCGCCAGCUAAGGUCCCAAAGUCAUGGUUAAGUGGGAAACGAUGUGGGAAGGCCCAGACAGCCAGGAUGUUGGCUUAGAAGCAGCCAUCAUUUAAAGAAAGCGUAAUAGCUCACUGGUCGAGUCGGCCUGCGCGGAAGAUGUAACGGGGCUAAACCAUGCACCGAAGCUGCGGCAGCGACACUNAUGUGUUGUUGGGUAGGGGAGCGUUCUGUAAGCCUGUGAAGGUGGCCUGUGAGGGUUGCUGGAGGUAUCAGAAGUGCGAAUGCUGACAUAAGUAACGAUAAAGCGGGUGAAAAGCCCGCUCGCCGGAAGACCAAGGGUUCCUGUCCAACGUUAAUCGGGGCAGGGUGAGUCGACCCCUAAGGCGAGGCCGAAAGGCGUAGUCGAUGGGAAACAGGUUAAUAUUCCUGUACUUGGUGUUACUGCGAAGGGGGGACGGAGAAGGCUAUGUUGGCCGGGCGACGGUUGUCCCGGUUUAAGCGUGUAGGCUGGUUUUCCAGGCAAAUCCGGAAAACCAAGGCUGAGGCGUGAUGACGAAGCACUACGGUGCUGAAGCGACAAAUGCCCUGCUUCCAGGAAAAGCCUCUAAGCAUCAGGUAACAUCAAAUCGUACCCCAAACCGACACAGGUGGUCAGGUAGAGAAUACCAAGGCGCUUGAGAGAACUCGGGUGAAGGAACUAGGCAAAAUGGUGCCGUAACUUCGGGAGAAGGCACGCUGAUAUGUAGGUGAAGCGACUUGCUCGUGGAGCUGAAAUCAGUCGAAGAUACCAGCUGGCUGCAACUGUUUAUUAAAAACACAGCACUGUGCAAACACGAAAGUGGACGUAUACGGUGUGACGCCUGCCCGGUGCCGGAAGGUUAAUUGAUGGGGUUAGCGGUAACGCGAAGCUCUUGAUCGAAGCCCCGGUAAACGGCGGCCGUAACUAUAACGGUCCUAAGGUAGCGAAAUUCCUUGUCGGGUAAGUUCCGACCUGCACGAAUGGCGUAAUGAUGGCCAGGCUGUCUCCACCCGAGACUCAGUGAAAUUGAACUCGCUGUGAAGAUGCAGUGUACCCGCGGCAAGACGGAAAGACCCCGUGAACCUUUACUAUAGCUUGACACUGAACAUUGAGCCUUGAUGUGUAGGAUAGGUGGGAGGCUUUGAAGUGUGGACGCCAGUCUGCAUGGAGCCGACCUUGAAAUACCACCCUUUAAUGUUUGAUGUUCUAACGUUGGCCCGUAAUCCGGGUUGCGGACAGUGUCUGGUGGGUAGUUUGACUGGGGCGGUCUCCUCCUAAAGAGUAACGGAGGAGCACGAAGGUUGGCUAAUCCUGGNUCGGACAUCAGGAGGUUAGUGCAAUGGCAUAAGCCAGCUUGACUGCGAGCGUGACGGCGCGAGCAGGUGCGAAAGCAGGUCAUAGUGAUCCGGUGGUUCUGAAUGGAAGGGCCAUCGCUCAACGGAUAAAAGGUACUCCGGGGAUAACAGGCUGAUACCGCCCAAGAGUUCAUAUCGACGGCGGUGUUUGGCACCUCGAUGUCGGCUCAUCACAUCCUGGGGCUGAAGUAGGUCCCAAGGGUAUGGCUGUUCGCCAUUUAAAGUGGUACGCGAGCUGGGUUUAGAACGUCGUGAGACAGUUCGGUCCCUAUCUGCCGUGGGCGCUGGAGAACUGAGGGGGGCUGCUCCUAGUACGAGAGGACCGGAGUGGACGCAUCACUGGUGUUCGGGUUGUCAUGCCAAUGGCACUGCCCGGUAGCUAAAUGCGGAAGAGAUAAGUGCUGAAAGCAUCUAAGCACGAAACUUGCCCCGAGAUGAGUUCUCCCUGAGACUUAGAGUCUCCUGAAGGAACGUUGAAGACGACGACGUUGAUAGGCCGGGUGUGUAAGCGCAGCGAUGCGUUGAGCUAACCGGUACUAAUGAACCGUGAGGCUUAACCU